Xiphophorus hellerii (green swordtail) is the source of this 3131-nucleotide RNA transcript. It is a transcript of the gene named chorion transcription factor Cf2-like, with no coding region annotated. The transcript has 7 exons. The record is from RefSeq and is a predicted model, not a curated record. Lineage: Eukaryota; Metazoa; Chordata; Actinopteri; Cyprinodontiformes; Poeciliidae.
AGAGACCCACGAUAUAGUCCUCCUACAACAUUAUGUGCUCUUCAUUAAGCUAACAGUAAACUGGCAGCUACCUGACUGGAACCAAAAAAAGACUCUUUAAAAUAUAUGCUGGCCACGGUGAUUUACCUCCAUUGUGUGGCUAAAUUGUACACAGUAAUGUACUGCAUUACGAUUUGUAAUGUGUAUUAAGAGUACAUGAACUUUAAUGAAUUGUUCUUUGCAGAGACCACUGACUAAGUUGACUGAAGCUGGUAGCAAUGCCUUUGAGGAGUGAAUCUUCUCUUGGGAUCACCAGAAAGUUCCAAACGGACAGUUUCCAUCACUGCUCAACAUUUUUCAAUACAUUUUAUAAUGCUCUAUUGCCACUGCCAGUUUUAGAGAAGAGUACAUCUUGAGAACUCUUGUUUGGAUCAAAUAAACUCAGUUGAACCAAAGAAUUGCAAGAGUUGCUGCCCACGUCCUGGAUGUGUGGUUGGCUGACUAAAGCUACAGUUCCCUAUGAGUGGUUGAGAUUGUAUUUUUUUUUUCCCUUCUACCCUAAAAUACACUUGAAGUAUUAAAAAAUUGUCUUUUGACAAUUUCUGGAGAGCAUUUGGCCAACUUUAGUAGUCCUGGUAUUGUAGACCACAAAAUGUAACUUAAUGUUGGGUGUUUUUUUUUAGUAAACUGGCAUAUCUGACGUUUUUUGAACGUCACUUGCAUUUUUUUAACUUAUGGUUCUGAAAAUUCUUAAUAUGCUCUUGAAUAUUGCCUGCUCAUGUUUGCGUCCAACAUACUCCGGUGCGAGAGGGGGCGACAUUUUAAACUGGUCGUGUAAUCCGCAGAUAAAACCGGCUGUUUGAAUGCAAAGAGCGGAAAUGUUCUUUGACUGGAGUAGCAUUUCUCGUGUGUCCGAAAGGUCUUAAGUGGGUAAAACUGUGAAAAUGAGCCAACUGGAGGAGCUAAAGUUGUUUGUGGCUGGGCGACUGCGAACUGCUACAUCCGAAAUCCUUGAUGUCAUCGACAAAACUAUAGAAGCGUACGAGCAAGAGGUCACCCGGCUGAAGGAGGAAAACAAGCGCCACUCGUCUCUGUUGGAGAUUAUCCUGAAGAAAAAGUUGCCAAAGAAACAAGGUUGUCAUGUAACCAACACUACAACUACAGAGGUUGCUGCAAAGCUUGUCACUGACUGCAGUAACGCUCCUGCUGUUAAAGAAGAAAAUUCUCCUUCUGACCCAUCUGCUCCAGACUCAGGAGUUAACAGCAAGACCCAAACAUCUACCUUUAGCGCCACUGUUGGGCAACAGACUGUCUUCAUCUCCAAAGAGCGCCUUCUCAGGUUUUCAACCAUGGAGAACUGUUUCUUCUGUUUCAAGCAAGUGCCUGCCUCAAAGCACCACCUGAUGAAAAGACAUUAUGAUAUAGCCGUCCAUUUUAUUCAGGAUGACAUUGAAAGAUUUGUGAUCCCAUGUAUGUGUUCUGACAAAGUUCAGGAAAGAAGUCACUGGCACUGUCCGUGCUGCGAGAAGGUCCUUAAUCGGAGAUGCAUCUUUAAAGUCCACCUAUCAAAACAACAUGGCAGGUUAUACUGUUCUGCAGACAAAACAAGGGUCAGGGAAUCAUCGUCUGCCUUACACUGUCAUGUUUGAAGAUGAAUCUUCGGGCCUCGAAGACUCCGAGGAAGAUGAGGAAGAGCUCAGCAGCAUGGAACAGCAGCAGGAAACGACUUCACCUCUGCUUCAAAUGAAAGAAAAAGCAGCAGGCCAACUUCUAAAUGUGGUGGAUGCCCAACAUUCUGGUAGCAGUCAACCACAGCAACACUGUCUAUACCUAAAUCAAGACCGUGGCAUGAACAUCUCCUUGAACACUCGCAUCCAAGAUGGAAGGGAAGUUAUUGUCGUGGAAAGUCGUCAGAAUAAUGGCUUUGGUAAAGUACUGGAUUCAGCUGGCAAAAUGCAGCAACCAAAUGAAACCGGUGUUGUAACGAAGGGCAAAUCCUGCAGCAAUACCAAGGAAUCUAUCCCGACCAAAUCAGCAUCAUCAAGUUCAGUUGACUUUAGUCCACCAAGCAAAAAGCAUGCAAAAAGUCAAUUAGCAGACCUAAAUCUGAGUACAGCGACAACAGAGUUAUCUGCCACUCAGAACCGUGAUGGGUCGUAUUACUGUAAGGCAUGUGGAGAAAUCUUCCAUUACUUCCACAAGCUAAAGACGCACGUGCAGAAACACGCAGGGGACAAAAUCUGUAUUUGUGGGGUUUGUGGGAAACGUUUGAUGCUCAGUGAAAGUCUACACCAGCACCUGCAGAACCACAACACCAAGAACGUUUGUGGGACAUGUGGUAAGCAGUUUUCAAGCCAGUCUCGCUUUCAGCAGCAUAAGACUUUUCAUAAAUCAAAGACUAAAUACAAAGUCUACAAUAUGAUCACACCUGGAUUCACGCAGGGCUUUGAAAAGUCUAAAAUUUGAAAAUCUUGUCCAACUGAAAACCCUUAAAACUGAAAUUGGUGCUAAAGGGCUUAAAUAUUAUAAGGUUGUGUAUGUAGAUAAGUGUUUUGUUGAGAAGAUUACUUAGGUUAAGAUAGCUGUUUUGAUUUAAUGGAGAGCUAAAUUGAUAAUUUUCAGUGGAUAAACAUGAAUCUUUAAAUUGAUAAAAAAGGCUUUCUUUUGUUAAAAUGUUAAUUUGAAUGUUUCUGGUAAUAUGUCAUGUUGGUCUUAGAUUUAAUUCAUGAUCGUCUUUAAAAGGUCUUAAGCUUAUCCUAGUGAAACCUGCAAGAACCCUGUUAAACAUGGCUGAAAUUCUCCAGGAAUCAAAUCUUCUAUGAUUGUUGUCCUUUAGCACCAUUGUUCUCAUAUGUUGUGCUCUAGUGAUAGAACCUAUACCCGACUGUAAUGCUUGUUCAGCAGUAUUCAUUCAAAUAAAUGUCAUAUAUAUAUAUAAUAUAGAAAUCAUUUAUAUUUGUUACAUAGAUUCUUAGAAUUUCAUACUGUCAUGUAGUGUGGAAAACUGAGUACACCUUUAAUGAUAGAAUUGCAUUGACAGUCAGUUUUUGGUUGAGACAUACAACUGUGUUAAAAAAUGCCAAUUCUGUAGGAUAUAGUUAAUGACCAGCUUCAAGUGUUGCUAACUAUUAAACUAAGUGGUUAUUGGGUUA